AAGAUUGCAAAGCCUGCUAUUAGACCAAAAAAUAGUUCUAAUAGAUAAAACACACAUGAAAGUCACAGUUGCCUCAUUAUUUCAACAAUACAGAGGGCUUUUGAUGAUUGGAAAGAUUAUCAUGAGGGCUAAUGACCCAAGAUGAAAAUUGUUUACAUUCAAUUCAACAAGCAUUGAUUGAACACAUCCUAUGUGCUGACUUCUGUGAAACAAUGGUUCAGGUUAGUUCUUGCCUGGACAAUUGUAGUAGCUUUCAAAUUGAGCUUGAUAUUGUUAUUUUUCCUCAUCAUAGAAGCUAUACAUGGCCAUUGAUGACAAGUUAGAAAACAGAACAGAGAAAAAAGUACAAAGAUAUGUUUUCUGAGAAUUUGGCAUUGUUGAGUAUGAUCCAAAGUUGAUAGGUGCAUUUAGAAACAUAAUUUUGAGACCCAUCAUGGGGACAUUUAUAUUCCAGAAGUUUUCUUUGUGAAAUGCUUUCCUGGCAUUUCUGGCCUCACACACAGAAUUUCUUUAACAAGAUUAAUUUUUGCUUCCACAACUUGUUCAAACCUUUAGCUUUAUCUUAUUUAACUUAAAACAAUUCUUUAAACCCUCUAAUGGCUUGAAUGAUCUUCACACCUCGGCCUCCUGAGUAGCUGGGACUACAGUUGUGCGCCACCACACUAGGCUAAUUUUUGUAUUUUUGUUGAGACAGGGUUUUACCAUGUAGCCAAGGCUGGUCUUGAACUC
Molecule: long non-coding RNA, 729 nt
Filed under: Homo sapiens (human)
Lineage: Eukaryota; Metazoa; Chordata; Mammalia; Primates; Hominidae
Description: non-protein coding lnc-RBM46-3:1
Source: RNAcentral